UGAAUACGAGACGCUAAGGCGUUGAAGUAGUGUAUGUCAUACUUCCAAGAAAAGCUUGCACUGUCAUAGAUAAAAAACGCCUGUACCAUAACCGACACAGGUGGGUAGGUAGAGUAUACUAAGGGGCGCGAGAUAACUCUCUCUAAGGAACUCGGCAAAAUAACUCCGUAACUUCGGGAGAAGGAGUGCCUUAUUUAUAAGGCUGCAAUAACAAGAUCCAAGCAACUGUUUAUCAAAAACACAGGUCUCCGCUAAGUCGUAAGACGAUGUAUGGGGGCUGACGCCUGCCCAGUGCCAGAAGGUUAAAGAAGUUGGUUAGCAAUAGCGAAGCUGAUAACUGAAGCCCUGGUGAACGGCGGCCGUAACUAUAACGGUCCUAAGGUAGCGAAAUUCCUUGUCGGGUAAGUUCCGACCCGCACGAAAGGCGUAAUGAUUUGGAUACUGUCUCGGAGAGGGGCUCGGUGAAAUAGACUUGUCUGUGAAGAUGCGGACUACCUGCACCAGGACAGAAAGACCCUAUGAAGCUUUACUGUAACUUGAAAUUGAAAUUGGACUUUAUUCGCGCAGUAUAGGUGGGAGGCGUUGAUUGUAAUCUUGCGGGAUUAUUGGAGCCAUCAGUGAGAUACCACCCUUGUAAUGUUAGAUUUCUAACUUUGAAUCAUUAUCUGGUCAAAGAACAGUUUCAGGCGGGCAGUUUGACUGGGGCGGUCGCCUCCUAAACGGUAACGGAGGCGUACAAAGGUUUCCUCUGAACGGUUAGAAAUCGUAUCUAGAGUGUAAAGGCAUAAGGAAGCUUGACUGUGAGACCUACAAGUCGAGCAGGGACGAAAGUCGGUCUUAGUGAUCUGACGGUACUGAGUGGAAAGGCCGUCACUCAACGGAUAAAAGUUACUCUAAGGAUAACAGGCUGAUCUCCCCCAAGAGUUCACAUCGACGGGGAGGUUUGGCACCUCGAUGUCGGCUCAUCGCAUCCUGGGGCGGUAGUACGUCCCAAGGGUUGGGCUGUUCGCCCAUGAAAGCGGUACGCGAGCUGGGUUCAGAACGUCGUGAGACAGUUCGGUCCAUAUCCGGUGUAGGCGUUAGAAUAUUGAGAGGAGCCUUCUUUAGUACGAGAGGACCGAGAAGGACAUACCUCUGGUGUACCAGUUAUCGUGCCAACGGUAAACGCUGGGUAGCUAUGUAUGGAGUGGAUAACCGCUGAAAGCAUCUAAGUGGGAAGCCCACCUCAAGAUAAGUAUUCGC
This 1242-nucleotide ribosomal RNA is filed under the name metagenome. Its description in RNAcentral is "bacterial LSU rRNA". It matches the Rfam family "Bacterial large subunit ribosomal RNA", at positions 1564 to 2815 of the family's 2925-position model. The record is from RNAcentral.